AGUGCCUGGUAGAGUACUGAAUCUUUCCUGACACUCGAUAUUGUCAGUUUUCUCCUAACCUUUGACAGUUUUAUGGGUAAGGAAGUAUUAUUGUUUUAUUUUACAUUCAUUCAUAGCUCUCAUGUUUGUUGAAUACCAUUAUAUCUUUUUUUUUGAGGGCUCUUUGCUCACACAACCCUCUGAUAUGAUGAGAGAACUUUCCUCUCUCAGCCUUUAAUGCCCAUAGCAUAGGCAGAACCAGCAAGAAAGGGGAGUAGAAAGAGAGGACUUAGAAAAAGAUGAAAACAGAACUUUGUGGAGAGGAAGGCAGAACCCUGUGACCAUGGAGAAUAGAAUGCCGCACGUGCGUUUGCUAGUAUUGUUCUAAUCAGAAUGGGAGAGCUAAAAGUGGUCCUAUUCAGUCUGCUGUGAAACGUCUUCUGCUUUAUCUCCAGAGACAAGGCCUGAACAAUUAAGAUACCUUUCUGGAUGAAAAGAUGAUGUGAGACUGAAGGAAAGAGGGAAUUGACAGCAAGCUAUAACCCAUGACUACAUUGGUGAGGGCCUUCACUAAGGCAGGAUAUAAAGUCCUUAAGGGUUGGACAAGGUGAUUGAAAACUCAUUUGUAUACCCCAGUGAGGAAUCUGGUAAAUGCUUAGUUGUUGGACUGAAUUUUAAAAUGGUCCUUAGAGAAACUUGACAAUAUACAGCAUCUUUCUACCGCUGGAGUUAAGUCUGUUUCUGGUAAAUCCCUGAGAUCAAUUCCCAGCUAUGCUACAGUCCUUUGAGAGGCUAAUUAAGGUCCUUAGCUAAAAUGGGAAUUCUUGCCUGAAAAUUACAAGUUAGAGCGUGCCCCAAAUCUCAGACUCAGCCCCUGGGAGACUUCCCAGUGUUAGAUGUGUCCUUAACCCAAACUGUUGAUGCCA
Non-coding RNA from Equus caballus (horse), 905 nucleotides. NCBI's taxonomy places the organism in Eukaryota, Metazoa, Chordata, Mammalia, Perissodactyla, Equidae. The record is from RefSeq and is a predicted model, not a curated record.